GAUGAACGCUGGCGGCGUGCCUAAUACAUGCAAGUCGAGCGAACGGACGAGAAGCUUGCUUUUCUGAUGUUAGCGGCGGACGGGUGAGUAACACGUGGAUAACCUACCUAUAAGACUGGGAUAACUUCGGGAAACCGGAGCUAAUACCGGAUAAUAUGUUGAACCGCAUGGUUCAAAAGUGAAAGACGGUUUUGCUGUCACUUAUAGAUGGAUCCGCGCUGCAUUAGCUAGUUGGUAAGGUAACGGCUUACCAAGGCAACGAUGCAUAGCCGACCUGAGAGGGUGAUCGGCCACACUGGAACUGAGACACGGUCCAGACUCCUACGGGAGGCAGCAGUAGGGAAUCUUCCGCAAUGGGCGAAAGCCUGACGGAGCAACGCCGCGUGAGUGAUGAAGGUCUUCGGAUCGUAAAACUCUGUUAUUAGGGAAGAACAUAUGUGUAAGUAACUGUGCACAUCUUGACGGUACCUAAUCAGAAAGCCACGGCUAACUACGUG
RNAcentral lists this ribosomal RNA (497 nucleotides) under uncultured bacterium. Its description in RNAcentral is "partial 16S ribosomal RNA". It matches the Rfam family "Bacterial small subunit ribosomal RNA", at positions 28 to 507 of the family's 1533-position model. The record is from RNAcentral.